RNAcentral lists this long non-coding RNA (2043 nucleotides) under Homo sapiens (human). Its description in RNAcentral is "HSALNT0160304". Lineage: Eukaryota; Metazoa; Chordata; Mammalia; Primates; Hominidae. The record is from RNAcentral.
AGGGGGACACAUGCAGGUUUGUUCUACAGAUAAACUGCAUGUUCUGGGGGUUUGGUGUACAGAGUAUUUCAUCACCCAGGUAAUAAACACAGCAUGAAUGAAACUCAUCUAAGCACAGAGGGUACACUUGGAGAAGCAUUUGGAUGAAAUCUGGUAAGAAACCAGUUGAAGUAUAUCGAGCAGCCCAACCCCAGGACACCCAUAUAAAUCUAGAAUGUAACCUUUGGAAAACGCUGACCUUGUAAAUUAACCAGAAACAUCAAAGAAGGAGAUUAUACUGUGUACAUUCAGAAUGCAAAAGAAAGAGCCAUCUUUACUUGUGAAACAAUGACCUUUGUUCUGCAUCUGUGUUAUGAUGAAUUCUCAAGUCUGAUGAGGUGAGACUCCGUAGUUCUCAGUAGUUGGGUCCUAAUGAGCUGGAUUUUCCAUAUUGUCUAAUCCACUUUGUCUAUAGCUAGGUGCUUAGGGAGGCCACUCGAAGUCUAUUAGAUUGGAAUGCUAAAAAACAGGUCCCCUGUGACCUAAGAGAGAUAAUAUAUCUCACUCAUUAGGGGUACAACUAGGUUCCUGGCUUACUGGAAAAAAAAAGAUUCUUAUUAUUUAUAUAUUUUUAUUUAAUUUUUAAACUGAACUUUAGGUGUCUUUAUUAACACUGAAAAGAAUAUCCUUAUAAAUAAAAUGACAGCUCUGUAAAAAAAAAAUCAGUUGGCAUUGAAACUGGUGGAUUAUACUCAUUCUUUACCUACAGACAUAUUACUAAUGUUUUUAUCUCAUUGUAGAUGACUUACAGGCAUGUUACUAAUGUUUUUAAUCUCAUUAUAAACCACUUGUUGGCAAGAGUUAGACAUACAUUUUUAUAGAUGCUAAAAAUGUAGCAUUGGGCACAGUGGCUUACGCCUGUAAUCCAAGUAUUUUGGGAAGUCGAGGCUGGAGGAUCACUUGAGGCCAGCAGUUACAGACCAGCCUGGGCAACAUAGCAAGACCCUGUCUCUACUUAAAAAAAUUAAAAGGUUUAGCUGGGUAUGGUGGUAUGUGUGUGUAGUCCUAGGUACUUGGGAGACUGGGGCUGGAGGAUUGAGCCCACGAGUUAGAGGCUACAGUGAGCUAUGAUUGUGCCACUGUACUCCAGCCUAGGUGAGAUCCUUUCUCUUAAAAAAAUACACACACACACACACACACACACACAAACACACGCAAUUCAUUAUAUGAUCUAGUGGUAAAAAGGCUUAAAAAUUGGAAACAUAAACACAUGUAAUUCAUUAUAUGAUCUAGUGGUAAAAAAGGUUUAAAAACUGGAACUAUAAAGAGCAGAAAAUGAGUCUCCUCUUUGCCCUAGAUCACUUCUUGUUUCAAUUUUCAGUGUUCCUGAGCUUUCCUUUCCAGUUUUCCCUCUGUUCCUGAAUAGUAACCAUUGUUAGCUGUUUCAUGUGAAUCUUUCCCAAACUCUAUCUACACACACACACACACUGCAUCUGGAUCAUGAUGCAUAUAUAUAUAUGAUUGUGAUUGUCAGUUUUAUGUGUCAACUUGGCUAAGGUACAGUUUCCACUAAUUCAAUCAACACUAACCUGGGUGUGUUGCUGUAAAGGCAUUUUUGUAGAUGUGAUUAAAAUCCAUAUUCUGUUGAUUUUGAGUAAGGGAGAUGAUCCUAGAUAAUCUGGAUGGGCCUGAUUCAGUCAUUUGAAAGUUCUUAAGAGCAGACUUGAGUCUUCCCUGAAGAAAAAGGAAUUCUGCCUAUGGAUAGCAGCAUCAGUUCGUGCCUGACAGUUCCAGACUUCUCUCCCUGAUGGCCUGCUCUGUGGUUCUCAGACUGCCUAGCCAGUCUGACAGUUGGAUACACAUAUUCCUUGCAAUAAAUCUCUUAACAUGUAUUUCCUACUGAUUUUGUUUCUUUAGUUGAACCAUGACUGAUAUAUAUAAAUAUUUCUACGGCUUGUUUUUUCACUAACAAUGUGUCUUAGAGAUGGCUUGAACCAUGUCUGGCAUAUUAUAUUUCUGUAGCUUGCUUUUUCACUAACAAUGUAUUUCAGAGAUGGCAUAUUU